UACAGAGGCCACAAGCGUUAAUCGGAAUCACUGGGCUUAAAGGGUGCGUAGGCGGGUUCGUAAGUGCUUUGUGAAAGCCCUCGGCUCAACCGAGGAACUGCAGGGCAUACUGCGAAUCUCGAGGAAUCUAGAGGCCGGCAGAACGAUAGGUGGAGCGGUGGAAUGCGUAGAGAUCUAUCGGAAUGCCAAAGGUGAAGACAGCCGGCUGGGGAUUUCCUGACGCUGAGGCACGAAAGCGUGGGGAGCAAACAGG
This 253-nucleotide ribosomal RNA is filed under the name uncultured bacterium. RNAcentral's name for it is "partial 16S ribosomal RNA". It matches the Rfam family "Bacterial small subunit ribosomal RNA", at positions 524 to 776 of the family's 1533-position model. The record is from RNAcentral.